RNAcentral lists this ribosomal RNA (253 nucleotides) under uncultured bacterium. Its description in RNAcentral is "partial 16S ribosomal RNA". It matches the Rfam family "Bacterial small subunit ribosomal RNA", at positions 524 to 776 of the family's 1533-position model. The record is from RNAcentral.
GACAGAGGCCUCGAGCGUUAGGCGGAAUCACUGGGCUUAAAGCGUGUGUAGGCGGAUCGUUAAGUACCUUGUGAAAUCCCACGGCUCAACCGUGGAACGGCUGGGUAUACUGGCGGUCUUGGGCCAUUCAGGGGCGACUGGAACAAGCGGUGGAGCGGUGAAAUGCGUAGAUAUCGCUUGGAACGCCGAAGGUGAAAACAGGCUGCUGGGGUUGCGCCGACGCUGAGACACGAAAGCCAGGGGAGCAAACGGG